AAACUUUCAACAAUGGAUCUCUUGGUUCUCGCAUCGAUGAAGAACGCAGCGAAAUGCGAUAAGUAAUGUGAAUUGCAGAAUUCCGUGAAUCAUCAAAUUUUUGAACGCAGAUUGCACUCUUUGGUAUUCCGAGGAGUACACAUGCUUGAGGGUCAGUU
This 158-nucleotide ribosomal RNA is filed under the name Cetraspora gilmorei. Its description in RNAcentral is "5.8S ribosomal RNA". It matches the Rfam family "5.8S ribosomal RNA". From Rfam's summary of the family: 5.8S ribosomal RNA (5.8S rRNA) is a component of the large subunit of the eukaryotic ribosome. It is transcribed by RNA polymerase I as part of the 45S precursor that also contains 18S and 28S rRNA. Lineage: Eukaryota; Fungi; Glomeromycota; Glomeromycetes; Diversisporales; Gigasporaceae. The record is from RNAcentral.